Molecule: ribosomal RNA, 253 nt
Filed under: uncultured bacterium
Lineage: Bacteria
Description: partial 16S ribosomal RNA
Rfam family: Bacterial small subunit ribosomal RNA
Source: RNAcentral
UACGGAGGAUGCAAGCGUUAUCCGGAAUGAUUGGGCGUAAAGCGUCCGCAGGUGGCAAUGUAAGUCUGCUGUCAAAGACCGGGGCUUAACUUCGGAAAGGCAGUGGAAACUGAACAGCUAGAGUAUGGUAGGGGCAGAGGGAAUUCCUGGUGUAGCGGUGAAAUGCGUAGAGAUCAGGAAGAACAUCGGUGGCGAAGGCGCUCUGCUGGACCAUAACUGACACUCAGGGACGAAAGCUAGGGGAGCGAAUGGG